GCAGGAGCCCCCUACCUCGGCAGGUCCGAGCAGGAAGGAUCUCCCGGUGGGGGGUUUCCUGUACUUCCUCCGGAAGCCGAUAAGACGUGUGCCUCGCUCCUUGGUCACGCUCCUUGGUCACGCUCCUCAGUCCAGCCUUGGGAGUCUGUCCUCCGCAUGUUUGUGCAGUGCUCGGUGGGUUUUGAGUUAUUCAUGCCCACAGUCUCCUUUGACCUCACUGGAUGAAGCGGACAAGGCUAAGAUUAACAUUCUCGUUUUAUACAUGAAAAGACAGAUUUCUUUAAAAGAAGAGUUAGGAAGGCAUUACUCAAAUAUACAUCUGUGAUAUUUAUCACCAAGGGUGACAUCGGCACUUCUCUUCCCCUCAUCCCGGUGGCGCGAGCCUUUGACCCAUGUUCUGCCAGCCCCAAGGAGCUCUUUGCGGCUGAGCACGGGGCCGUGCAGGUCCCCGGGAUGAAGCAGGCCCGCCACGGCUCCCUCCACGACCCUGAGCUGCAGUGCCCUGUGCCGCAGAGGCCACACCGGGACGCCACCACCUUCAUUGUCUUCCUCAAGCUGGGCAGCAGGGUAGGCUGGGCGGCUGCAAGACGCCGGCUGCUGGAACUCUCAUCAAGUGAGACAGUCUGCUCAGGACCAGCACCUACAUCUCGGAGAUGCUCCUCCCCUGGUGCCUGAGGGCGGAGGCCCCCAGGGAAGCCUGGGGUGAACAGCUCUGGAGUCACUCACAAGGCCAUGAAGACUCUGGAUGAGGAGGGCUCAGAGACUGCGGCCACCAUCUAGCUCAUGCCCAGGCUUCACCCUGACCUUGGCCCCACACCCCAUCCAGGCACUGACUUCAAUCCGCCCUUCCAGGUGAUGACUUCCUGCACAGAAAGAGGAAGCAUCCUUUGUCUGGGGAAGACUGUCAACCCAUUGGGAUGAUGCUGCCCGAGAUGCGCUGGACGACCCGGAGAGAGCAGAGGAGGGGACCACGCUGGGGUGCCCUUGUCUGGGGACAGAGACAGCAUCCGAGUCUCUGUGUGGCCUGGAGUCAUCCCCAGGCUCUCCGGGAUCCCGUUUCUUCAUCCGGAAGUGAAAUGGGAAACAUUUGGAAGCGGUGAUGGCGGCAGGUGCCCCUGCACAAGCUCCGUGCGGCCAUGCUAGUAGCCGCCCGCCCACGCGCCGGGAGCUUCUGUGUGGAACCAGGUUUAAGGUCUUGUGUGUAUCCUGGUUCUUCUGCGCGGUUUCACGGGAACCUACGGGGUGGGGGUGGUAAGGGCGAUCAAGGCUGUGCCUCUGAGUGAACAUCUACACGUACUAGGCGUUUUGUAUAUUUUAUCUCAUUUUGAAAUUAAUUCCCACAACACCUAGUAAGAUAAGCAUUAGGUUGAACCAUAGGAAAUCAAUUGUAUUUGGCCUUUUUUUUUUUACCUACAAAAAAGGGCAACUUCACAUGAUUCCGCCUAAUAUUAUUUCUCCCUUUUCAUAGCUGAGUCUCAGAGAUGAGCCCCAGCUCCCUCAGCUAGAAAGGGCAUAGCUGGGAUUUGGUGUGUUUUCUUCCAAAGCCUAGACUCUUUCCAUUCUCAUCCAUUUUGCUGAAUUGGUGAUUCUUUUUUGUUUUUUUUUUUUUGAGGAAGAUUAGCCCUGAGAUAACAUCUGCCAAUCCUCCUCUUUUUGCUGAGG
This is a long non-coding RNA of Equus quagga, 1662 nucleotides long. RefSeq lists it as uncharacterized. The transcript has 3 exons. NCBI's taxonomy places the organism in Eukaryota, Metazoa, Chordata, Mammalia, Perissodactyla, Equidae. The record is from RefSeq and is a predicted model, not a curated record.